This 511-nucleotide ribosomal RNA is filed under the name uncultured bacterium. Its description in RNAcentral is "bacterial SSU rRNA". It matches the Rfam family "Bacterial small subunit ribosomal RNA", at positions 791 to 1300 of the family's 1533-position model. The record is from RNAcentral.
UAGUCCACGCCGUAAACGAUGAGCACUAGUUGUUGGGGGUUUGACCCCCUCAGUGACAAAGCUAACGCAUUAAGUGCUCCGCCUGGGGAGUACGGUCGCAAGAUUAAAACUCAAAGGAAUUGACGGGGGCCCGCACAAGCGGUGGAUCAUGUGGUUUAAUUCGAAGCUACGCGCAAAACCUUACCUGGGCUUGAAAUCCUGAGAAUCCUCUAGAGAUAGAGGAGUGCCCUUCGGGGAAUUCAGUGACAGGCGCUGCAUGGCUGUCGUCAGCUCGUGUUGUGAAAUGUUGGGUUAAGUCUCGCAACGAGCGCGACCUCUAUCUUUAGUUGCCAGCAUUAAGUUGGGCACUCUAGAGAGACUGCCUGGGUUAACCAGGAGGAAGGUGGGGAUGACGUCAAGUCCUCAUGGCCCUUAUGUCCAGGGCUACACACGUAAUACAAUGGUACACACAAUGGGAAGCGAACUCGCGAGGGGAAGCAAAUCUCAAAAAAGUGUAUCCCAGUCCGGAUUG